RNAcentral lists this ribosomal RNA (497 nucleotides) under uncultured bacterium. Its description in RNAcentral is "partial 16S ribosomal RNA". It matches the Rfam family "Bacterial small subunit ribosomal RNA", at positions 28 to 507 of the family's 1533-position model. The record is from RNAcentral.
GAUGAACGCUGGCGGCGUGCCUAAUACAUGCAAGUCGAGCGAACGGACGAGAAGCUUGCUUUUCUGAUGUUAGCGGCGGAUGGGUGAGUAACACGUGGAUAACCUACCUAUAAGACUGGGAUAACUUCGGGAAACCGGAGCUAAUACCGGAUAAUAUUUUGAACCGCAUGGUUCAAAAGUGAAAGACGGUCUUGCUGUCACUUAUAGAUGGAUCCGCGCUGCAUUAGCUAGUUGGUAAGGUAACGGCUUACCAAGGCAACGAUGCAUAGCCGACCUGAGAGGGUGAUCGGCCACACUGGAACUGAGACACGGUCCAGACUCCUACGGGAGGCAGCAGUAGGGAAUCUUACGCAAUGGGCGAAAGCCUGACGGAGCAACGCCGCGUGAGUGAUGAAGGUCUUCGGAUCGUAAAACUCUGUUAUUAGGGAAGAACAUAUGUGUAAGUAACUGUGCACAUCUUGACGGUACCUAAUCAGAAAGCCACGGCUAACUACGUG